GCGGAGGAAAAGAAAAUAACAAUGAUUCCCCUAGUAACUGCGAGUGAAGAGGGACAAGCUCAAAUUUUAAAUCUAUCGGGUUUUACCUGAUCGAGUUGUAAUUUGAAGAAGCGUUUUCUGCGUAUUUGGUCAGCCUAAGUCCUAUUGAAUGAGGCAUCAUGGAGGGUGAUAAUCCCGUCCGGUUGAUCAUUUGCGUUUUACGAUACGCUUUCUAAGAGUCAAGUUGUUUGGGAUUGCAGCUUAAAAUGGGAGGUAAAUUUCUCCUAAGGCUAAAUAAUGGCGAGAGACCGAUAGCGAACAAGUACCGUGAGGGAAAGAUGAAAAGAACUUUGAAAAGAGAGUUAAACAGUACGUGAAAUUGUUGAAAGGGAAACGAUUGAAGCCAGUCGUACCUUCGGGUAAUCAGCCUUUCGGGUGCGAUUAUGUGGAGUGUGAGGAGCUUAAACACCUUCAUGUUUUGCAUAUUCGUACUCUUGGGUGUACUUGCCCGUGUGGUUGGUUAACAUCAAUUUUGGUGGUCAUAAAAUGACUGGAGGAAUGUAGCUUCGAUCUCGUAUUGAAGUGUUAUAGCCUUCGGUAGAUGUGAUGAUCGAGAUUGAGGAUUGCAACGGAUACCCUUCGGGGCUACCUGUCUGAUCUCUGAUCGUUGCUUUGGUGCCGAAAGCUUGCUUACGGUUAUCAAAGUCGAUGGUCAAUAGGUUAGAACGGGUUAAAUUCGUUAAGGAUGUUGACGUAAUGGCUUUAAACGACCCGUCUUG
Molecule: ribosomal RNA, 758 nt
Filed under: Glomeromycotina sp. OTU7 DJMC-2012
Lineage: Eukaryota; Fungi; Glomeromycota
Description: eukaryotic LSU rRNA
Rfam family: Eukaryotic large subunit ribosomal RNA
Source: RNAcentral